This is a long non-coding RNA of Numida meleagris (helmeted guineafowl), 2214 nucleotides long. The record is from Ensembl. Lineage: Eukaryota; Metazoa; Chordata; Aves; Galliformes; Numididae.
GGUGUCAGUGUGAAUUCGGAGUAGGAAGGACCAACUUUAGGCAGUAAUUCACGUUGUCAUGCUCUAGAGUCAUGCACAACCAGUUCCCUUUUGUUUGCAACGCCAGCACUGCGGAGAGUCAGCAGGUGCCCAUGCCCCCACAACAGCUUUGGGUGGAGGAGGAAUUGAGCUGUGUCCUAAGCCAGCUUUGUUUUAAUGACAAGUGCCCACCUGUCCCGAAAUGAGGUGGCCAGAGGCACCUGCUUGAGGGGUUGAAGCCACCAGCAGCAAGGCCCCAGGCAGUGCGCUCACCCUGAGCCCCCUCUGGAAGAGCCCAAUUGUACAUAUGCCAGGAAAACGCUGCUUUCCCUGCCUCCACUGGUGAAAACAAUUCACUUAACUGAAGCUGAACAGAGAGAGGUAUUACUUUUAUACUGUGUUGGUCCGUAAUAGUACGCCUAUACAUGGAAGGUGCGGAAGAUUUAAUGACACAUAAAAUGCUGAGGGAGAAGAAACUGAUCUUUGGAGUACGGCAUACUGUGGAGAAGAAGGAAGCCCAGUCACCAACGGAAAUGAGAGAGGUGAUCAAGCUUGACCUCACCUGCAUAUUCCCUUUAAUUUGGAUAAGCAAGAUUAACAUAUGAUCAGAGCAAUGGCUAUUGGCCUUUCUUUGCCCCGUCUGAUGUUUCUAUAAGCAGCUCUGUGUGUUAGAGAUCUGGCUCUGAGCAGCAGCAUCCCUAUGCUGAGAGAGAAACUCAGGAUGUUGCCUGAGAUGUUACUGGGGAGCUUCCUCCCAGCACAGCUCAGCCACUGCAGUGCAAAGCCUAGCUGCUCAGUGCGUGCAGUUUGAACAGCUCCUGGGCCUUGCAUCAGGAUUUCAAUUUCUUUCUCAAGGCAGAGCGAGGCUUGGAGGGUCUUUCCAGGGCAGCCUGAAGCAUGGACUCUGCCUCUUGUAAGCGCAGGUCUGCCACUGGUUGGCCGUGAGCUGUAAAUCACUGAGACUUAGAGAAUGCUCUUUGCAAUCUCAAGCCCCUACGGCUCUUGGAAACAGCUGUUCUCAUCUGAACCUGUGAAGUUCAUUGACAUGGAUACUGCUAAAAUCAGCAUCUGGUUUCAAGCAGCACGGUAGGGUUUAAAUCUGCAAACACUGGUCCACACUGGGGCUGGUUUGCUCAGUUAUGUUUGGAAAUGUCUUGACUGAAUGCUCUGGAGUUAUAUAUAUAUGCCUUCUCAUUUUUGCUUAUGAGGCAAGUGGUUUAAUUUUUUUUUCUUUACUGUUUCUUAUUUUUCCACAUAUAGCAUUGCACAACUACUGCCAGAACUAGUGAUAGUUAUGAAAGGACAUAAUGGUGUGAUUUGCCUGUGCAACAACCAGGAUUUGUUUUUAGGGAUAUGAGAAGAGGUGAAGGGCAUGUCCAAACAAGGAUGUGUAACUGGAUUACAGCUGGUGGGCUGUCAGCAGUGAGGAUUUUGUCACAAACAAGCUCAUUUGGGGAGAGGGAGUGAGAACAUUUGUCACUUGCCUGACUGUUAGGGGUCUCAGGUGGCAGUUUGAAUGAGUCACUGGUUUGCUGUUUCACUAGGGAAAUUCAUACUGCCCACUCUCAAUUUCCCUUGAUGUUCCCAGCCCUCAUAGGGUUUCUGGUGUUAGUUAUUCAUUACCAGGAAAAAGAAUUUGAUUUUCAUACUCCUUAAGUGAGACAAAGUUGGUGAAACAAAUAAGACAAACAAGGUCAUAUCCUGUGGAUGGUUUGGUUAGUUACUUUCUGUGCAAGUGAAAUGGAAUCUGUUUUUGGUGGGUUGUUUUUUUUUUCAUUUUGUUGCACCUUUAGUUUGCUUCAAAUUAAUGACUUUUUUUUAGCCAAUGUAAAUGACAGGCAGUAAGGAAAGAGUGAGGAAAAGGCACAGUUGCCUUCAGAGGAAGUAUUAAUCUAGUGAUGCAGGAUUGCUCCACAGUUAGGUAUUGGUAUGUAUUCUUUUGGCACUCACACCACUGCUAAAUAGCUGUUACGAAGGCUUUUCCAAAAUGGGGUUCUUUGUGUGCCAGAGUAGGUUUCUUUAUGCUUUUAUGCUGCAUGAAAUAGUUUUUGGGAUGGCUGAGAAGCUCUGCUUAAAUGUGACCAUCUCAAGGGAAAAUCAUCAUGUGGCAGCUCUCUGGAAGAACUUGGUACUUUUAGUGAAAUAUUAAGCAUCCAGUUUUAAUGUAAAAUAAAUCUGACUUUUAUUCUCCUGACA